GUAGGUGGCAAGCGUUGUCCGGAAUUAUUGGGCGUAAAGCGCGCGCAGGUGGUUCUUUAAGUCUGAUGUGAAAGCCCCCGGCUCAACCGGGGAGGGUCAUUGGAAACUGGGGAACUUGAGUGCGGGAGAGGAAAGUGGAAUUCCACGUGUAGCGGUGAAAUGCGUAGAUAUGUGGAGGAACACCAGUGGCGAAGGCGACUUUCUGGCCUGUAACUGACACUGAGGCGCGAAAGCGUGGGGAGCAAACAGGAUUAGAUACCCUGGUAGUCCACGCCGUAAACGAUGAGUGCUAAGUGUUGGGGGGUCUCCCGCCCCCUCAGUGCUGCAGCUAACGCAUUAAGCACUCCGCCUGGGGAGUACGGUCGCAAGACUG
RNAcentral lists this ribosomal RNA (373 nucleotides) under uncultured organism. Its description in RNAcentral is "partial 16S ribosomal RNA". It matches the Rfam family "Bacterial small subunit ribosomal RNA", at positions 527 to 896 of the family's 1533-position model. The record is from RNAcentral.